UACGGAGGGGGUUAGCGUUGUUCGGAAUUACUGGGCGUAGAGCGCGCGUAGGCGGAUUAGAAAGUUGGGGGUGAAAUCCCGGGGCUCAACCCCGGAACUGCCUCCAAAACUACUAGUCUAGAGUUCGAGAGAGGUGAGUGGAAUUCCGAGUGUAGAGGUGAAAUUCGUAGAUAUUCGGAGGAACACCAGUGGCGAAGGCGGCUCACUGGCUCGAUACUGACGCUGAGGUGCGAAAGUGUGGGGAGCAAACAGC
This 253-nucleotide ribosomal RNA is filed under the name uncultured bacterium. RNAcentral's name for it is "partial 16S ribosomal RNA". It matches the Rfam family "Bacterial small subunit ribosomal RNA", at positions 524 to 776 of the family's 1533-position model. The record is from RNAcentral.